CGUAGGCGGAUAAUCAAAAAUGUAGUAAAAGACUGAGGAUAAACCUCUUCAAACUAUAUUCACUAAUUAUUUGAGUUUUAAGGGCGAGCAAAUGAAUCCUUUAAGUAAGGGUUAAAUUGUUAAUAUUAGGAGACGUUCGAAAGCGAAAGCAAUGAUCGACUUAAAUCUGACGUUAGGUACUAAAGCAUGGGUAUGAAAAGGAUUAGAGACCUUGUAGUCCAUGCCGUAAACCAUGAGUGUUCAGCAUCUUUUUGUGGUAAUAUUAUUUCAUUAUAAUAAAAAGACACAAUCGGGGGUUUGAAGCUAACGCGUAAAACACCGCCUGGGGAAUGUGGCCGCAAGGUUAAACUCAAAGGAAUUGACGGAGACUUAUACAAGG
Molecule: ribosomal RNA, 379 nt
Filed under: Didymium megalosporum
Lineage: Eukaryota; Evosea; Eumycetozoa; Physariida; Didymiaceae
Description: SSU rRNA
Rfam family: Bacterial small subunit ribosomal RNA
Source: RNAcentral